Long non-coding RNA from Macadamia integrifolia, 745 nucleotides. RefSeq lists it as uncharacterized. The transcript is spliced from 2 exons. The record is from RefSeq and is a predicted model, not a curated record. Lineage: Eukaryota; Viridiplantae; Streptophyta; Magnoliopsida; Proteales; Proteaceae.
CUUCUCCAGGAUCAUCAACUAACAGUCGACCAACGGAGGAAUGGAUCGCAUCUUGGGUUUUAAAGGGAGAUUGACCUGGUUUCAAAAAUCGAUUCCCUCUUUUCUUCUUCUUCUCCCUCCUUACUCUCCUCUCUUCAAAUCGCGAAGACAAAACGAGGGUUUCUCCUUCUUCCUCCCUCCCAUUCAAAUGACAGACUACAGAUAAUCGAUCGUGCGUCCCCGCCGCUGAAGUUUCAGCUUGUUGGAAUUCCUUUGAUGUUUUUUUCUUUCUCCCAUGUUUUGAAUCCCGGAGAUUGUGGAUAUGAGACAUAGAUUCAUCUAGGCUCCUAAUGUUUGGUGAAUCUUUAGCUCAAAAAUGGAAGAGCACCUGGGAUUUUACCCAGGGUAUGAUGGUUUGAAUCUAUCAAGAUUCUUGGAUAUGGUCUUACUGUGUGCUGAAUUUUUAAGUGCGUGUGUGUUGCCAGCUACUGAAUUUAAUAUGGUCUUGAUAUGGUAUUGAUAUGGUUUGUCAUUUUAAGUGAGUGUGUGUAUAGCCAGCUAGAAUUUCAGUUCCAGGUUUGCUUUAAUAUGGUUUGUGAAUGAACAUCAACAGAGUAGUUUGUAAGUGAAUACAUCUAUGACAAGAGUGGUUUGUAAGUGAAUUUCAGUUCCAGCUAGAAUCUCCUGUUUCCUGAACAUCAACAAAGUGGUUUGUAAGUGAAUACAUCUAUGGCAGUUCUUUGGAAGUAAUAUUUUUGAUUGCUUA